This is a long non-coding RNA of Ananas comosus (pineapple), 426 nucleotides long. RefSeq lists it as uncharacterized. The record is from RefSeq and is a predicted model, not a curated record. The transcript is spliced from 2 exons. NCBI's taxonomy places the organism in Eukaryota, Viridiplantae, Streptophyta, Magnoliopsida, Poales, Bromeliaceae.
CUUUAAACCUUGCUAUAGUGCUUAAUAAAGAGGUAGCAUUUGCUUGUAAACAAAGUGGUGUUGUCAGCAAACGUGUCCAUUUUAUACCGAUUUUUCAAUAGAUGCUACUGAUUAUUUCUCUGUGCAUGCUAUAUCUAGUCAUAACUUAUAUUGUUAGAGUGCUGCCUCUAUUUGUCCCAGUCAUAUAUCUGUUUAUAAUAGGUAGGCACUCCUAGAACUCACAGGAGAUUCCUUGCUCGAGAUAGUGGGACCUAGGGCCCUUUGCCACGAACAACACCAAAAGGUUUAUUGGGGAUGCCUUCCAAUACAACGGCUAUAGAUAGUCUCUACUGUGUUGGUGAUAGUUGUUUUCCAGGACAGGGUGUCAUAGUUGUAUCUUUCUCAGGAAUCAUAUGUGCUCACAGAGUUUCUGUGAUAUAGGUAUUG